Molecule: transfer RNA, 72 nt
Filed under: Camelus bactrianus (Bactrian camel)
Lineage: Eukaryota; Metazoa; Chordata; Mammalia; Artiodactyla; Camelidae
Also listed under: 2 other names
Rfam family: tRNA
About the family: Transfer RNA (tRNA) molecules are approximately 80 nucleotides in length. Their secondary structure includes four short double-helical elements and three loops (D, anti-codon, and T loops). Further hydrogen bonds mediate the characteristic L-shaped molecular structure. tRNAs have two regions of fundamental functional importance: the anti-codon, which is responsible for specific mRNA codon recognition, and the 3' end, to which the tRNAs corresponding amino acid is attached (by aminoacyl-tRNA synthetases). tRNAs cope with the degeneracy of the genetic code in two manners: having more than one tRNA (with a specific anti-codon) for a particular amino acid; and 'wobble' base-pairing, i.e. permitting non-standard base-pairing at the 3rd anti-codon position.
Source: Rfam by way of RNAcentral
GUAUAUAUAGCUCAGUGGUAGAGUGUGUGCCUGGCAUGCAUGAGGUCCUGGGUACAAUCCCCAGUACCUUUA